RNAcentral lists this ribosomal RNA (253 nucleotides) under uncultured bacterium. Its description in RNAcentral is "partial 16S ribosomal RNA". It matches the Rfam family "Bacterial small subunit ribosomal RNA", at positions 524 to 776 of the family's 1533-position model. The record is from RNAcentral.
UACGAAGGGGGCAAGCGUUGUUCGGAAUUACUGGGCGUAAAGGGCGCGCAGGCGGCCUCUCAAGUCAGAUGUGAAAGCCCCGGGCUCAACCUGGGAAUAGCAUUUGGGACUGGGAGGCUUGAGAUCGGGAGAGGAGAGUGGAAUUCCCAGUGUAGAGGUGAAAUUCGUAGAUAUUGGGAAGAACACCAGUGGCGAAGGCGGCUCUCUGGACCGAUACUGACGCUGAGGCGCGAAAGCGUGGGGAGCAAACAGG